Molecule: long non-coding RNA, 1566 nt
Organism: Myzus persicae (green peach aphid)
Lineage: Eukaryota; Metazoa; Arthropoda; Insecta; Hemiptera; Aphididae
Exons: 5
Source: RefSeq, a predicted model, not a curated record
UAGCUAAUUACACGCUAUCGUGCACUGCUGUCGUGUGUUCAAUAUCGCUCAAACAGUUUUGUUAGUACGAUCGACGGGUAGGUACGUAUCGUUUCUACAUUCCCAAAAUGUUUGAUACCUUUAUUAUCGACAAGCUACGACGACGAUAAAAGGCGGCCUAGAAACCGUCUGACUACCCACCACUGACCUUUUCAGUUUUCACCAUUAUAUAAUACAGUGAUCACUCGCCGGACCGUGAACGAGACCCGACCCGACCUACCCUCUUUGGUCCUUUUCAUAGUCUCGGUGAACUCGGCGGCGGGUGGUUUCUAGCCCUCCUCUCACCCACUUCUCCUGCCAAUUACCUGUGCAUCGCCGAGUACCGGGAAACGAUCCCCGCCACGAUCCCUCAAGCACAACACUGUCAGCCAUUAUUCGAUUAUUCUUGUUCGGAGAUCCGUGCUGCGUUCAUCACAUCGAAUGAAUACUGAAUAGGUAGCGAUUGCCGGCGCAGUUGCCAGUUGUAGACUUGCUGUACUGCUGUAAAAGUGUUGGACAGUUCUGACCGCCGUUCACCACGCCAUGAUUUUAGUACGAUUUCCGAGUAGAUGCUUUUGGACUUUCGGCUUACGGAUCUAUAUUGAUCUGGACAAUUACAGGUAUGACAUUUUUGGUCACCGACGAGAUUCUUCGCCCUAUCUAACCAACCGGUAUCCGUGCUGGCCAUUUUAUUUGUUUUAUGGAGAUCGUCGAUACGUGUGAAAUAGGUUCUCCAUAAAGACAUAAGUACAGACUACUGAGCACACGUCGACUCUUGGCCGAUCGACGCAUUAACGAUUCUAUAGUUUCGCAUCGUCCUCGCGAUAUCCCUACAGGAAUCAGUUUCUGACACACGAACAGAGAAGCGCAGUCAUAGCUAAAACUUCAAAGACAUAUUACUAUAUUUUGUUGUGUUCCGGUUGAAGAACUGCUGCACCAAUGAGGAUUCGUAGAUUCAUUGAAGCGGAACUCGAAGACGAGGGGAAAAUAGGAAAUAUAGCAAUUGUCAUUAAUUUAGCAAAUAUUACGAGCACAAUGUACAUAGCAUGUGAUCAGAUGAUGAUUACCUGUUACGCCGAACUAACUAUAUGGUACAUAAUCUAAGUAAAAGAGAAUAUAUAUGAAAAUGGCAAGAAAUUUAAAGGAUGCAUUGUGGAUGGUGGAAGAACUUUGUUUAGCAAUAUGUCUAAACAGUAAACAUGUAUACCUAUAUAUAUAUAUAUUGAAGAUUUUAAGUGGGAAUAUGAAGAAUAAAUCAGCAUAAAUAACAUUUUUGAGUUAUGAAUCAGCAGUACCCGAGGAGACCAAAAAAAAUAUUUAUCUAUGAAACAUGGUAGUUAAAACCAGAAAACAACAUUUUUAUUCUCUUAGAUUUUCUUAGGUAGCACGUAUUGUACAAAAAUAUUGAAAACAAAGUUUAUUAAAAUUAUUAAUUUUUGUUUUGGUAAAUUACGUAAAAAAUAUAAUUCAUAUUAAAUUAACAGUCAAUUGUAAUUUGCACAUUGUCAUUAUAUAUAAUUGUUCAAUUAUAUAUAUUUAAUACCAUAA